UCACCUCACCCCCUCUUGUCUUAUUCCGCCUAUAUACCGCCGUCGCAAGCUUACCCUCUGAGGGACAAAUAGUAAGCUCAACCGGCACUGCCCAGAACGUCAGGUCGAGGUGUAGCGAAUGAGGGGGGAAGAAAUGGGCUACAUUCCCUACCUCAGGGAAUUACGAAUAAUCUUAUGCUGAAACGCGUAUUUGAAGGUGGAUUUAGUAGUAAGCAUGAAAAUAGAGUGUUCUGCUGAACCCGGCUCUGAAGCGCGCACACACCGCCCGUCACUCUCCCCGACAAAUGGAAAUGCCCUUAACUAAAAGAAUACAACACUAGAGGGGAGGCAAGUCGUAACAUGGUAAGUGUACCGGAAGGUGUACUUGGUCAACA
RNAcentral lists this ribosomal RNA (374 nucleotides) under Sillago sihama (northern whiting). RNAcentral's name for it is "partial 12S ribosomal RNA". It matches the Rfam family "Bacterial small subunit ribosomal RNA", at positions 966 to 1533 of the family's 1533-position model. Lineage: Eukaryota; Metazoa; Chordata; Actinopteri; Sillaginidae. The record is from RNAcentral.